This 1202-nucleotide ribosomal RNA is filed under the name Plagiopsetta glossa. RNAcentral's name for it is "partial 16S ribosomal RNA". It matches the Rfam family "Bacterial large subunit ribosomal RNA", at positions 593 to 2558 of the family's 2925-position model. The record is from RNAcentral. Lineage: Eukaryota; Metazoa; Chordata; Actinopteri; Pleuronectiformes; Samaridae.
UCCCCCUCGUACCUUUUGCAUCAUGAUUUAGCUAGUAUAAUCAAGCAAAGCGCCCUUUAGUUUGACGCCCCGAAACUGAGGGAGCUACUUCAAGACAGCCUAAAAAUAGGGCGAACCCUUCCCUGUGGCAAAAGGGUGGGACGAGCUUCAAGUAGAGGUGACAAACCUAACGAACUCAGUUAUAGCUGGUUGCCUGAGAACUGGAUAUAAGUUCAGCCUCCCGGCUCCUUACUGAACCAAGAGAGUUAUUCAAAAGAGGUACAGCUCUUUUGAAAAAAGACACAACUUUAUUUAGGAGAUUAAAGAUUAAACUUUAUUAAAGCAGCUUUUCCGAGUAGGCCUAGAAGCAGCCACCCCCUUAGAUAGCGUUAAAGCUCAAACAAACAAUACCAAUAAACAAAUCUAAUAUCCCUCAAUCUAUCAGGCCUCCCUAUUCUUUCACUUAUAGGAGAGACCAUGCUAAUAUGAGUAAUAAGAGAAAUUUCUCUCCCCGCAUAAGUGUAAAACGGAACGGACACGCCACCGAAAAUUAAACGGACCCACCCCAGAGGGAAAUUGGUUAAAUGCAAGAAAAUUACCCCCCGUUAAUCUCACACUAGAAUGCUCCCGGAAAGACCAAAAGGGAAGGAAGGAACUCGGCAAAUAAGCUUCGCCUGUUUACCAAAAACAUCGCCUCUUGUAAAAAUAAGAGGUCCUGCCUGCCCAGUGAUCAAAAGUUCAACGGCCGCGGUAUUCUGACCGUGCAAAGGUAGCGUAAUCACUUGUCCUUUAAAUGAAGACCUGUAUGAAUGGCGCGACGAAAGCUUAACUGUCUCCCCUCCCCUGUCAAUGAAAUUGAUCUCCCCGUGCAGAAGCGGGGAUAAACACAUAAGACGAGAAGACCCUGUGGAGCUUCAAACACCAAGCCCAGCUCGCAUAAAUACCCAAACAUAAAUUAAGUGUAUAAAACAUAUGACCCCUGAGCUAAUGUUUUCGGUUGGGGCGACCAUGGGGAAAUAAAAAACCCCCAAGAGGAUAGAAGCAUCUUCCACAAAAAAGGCUGACAAGCCUAAUUUACAGAACCUCUGACCUAUACAGAUCCGGCACAAGCCGAUCAACGAAUCAAGUUACCCCAGGGAUAACAGCGCAAUCCUCUUCAAGAGCCCAUAUCGACAAGGGGGUUUACGACCUCGAUGUUGGAUCAGGACAUCCUAAUAGUGCAG